This is a long non-coding RNA of Saimiri boliviensis boliviensis (Bolivian squirrel monkey), 1794 nucleotides long. RefSeq lists it as uncharacterized. The record is from RefSeq and is a predicted model, not a curated record. Lineage: Eukaryota; Metazoa; Chordata; Mammalia; Primates; Cebidae.
UUGGGCUGGAAGUGUGCAGUGCGCUGAAGGCGUCUUUCAGACUGACCCAAGGAAAUGAUAAGAUUUAGGAUUUUGAGGAUGAAGAAACAUUGAAAAGGAGUGGGGUAUAAUGAACGAGAAGGGAACAGGCAUAACCAGGUCUCUCGCAGGCCGUAUUUGAUGGGCCUGAAAAGAAGUCUGAUGAAACAGAUGUUACUUGAAGCUGAGUGACUUUCUCAGGAUCAAGCAAAUAAGCAAAUGGAGGAGUCAGAAUUAUAUCCCAGGUUUGGAUUAUUGAGGUUUCAGGGUAUCUUAGAGACUCACCUGGCUCACAGAAUCUUGGGAAAUUUGAUCAUCCUCAACAUGGAGGCGGUAUCCAGGAAGAGAACAGUGCAAUGUCCCCAGCCUGGCUCAAAGAAGAACAUUUUGAUAAAGCCUAUUGAAAGAGACUGAGGUGCAUAAAGAUGAAGUAACAUGUCCAGGGGCAGGAGCCCAGGCCUCUAACCUUCAUCUCCUGUCCUGUACACUCUAAUCAGGAUGGAACUGUACUGUAUAUCACUAUAUAAGACAAUAUAUGAAGUCCCAACUAUUCCCAAAGAACUGUUUCCUCUGGUUCUUCCCAGGAAGCUAAGAAACAUAUAUUUUAAGAAAUUGAUGAAGAUUUCAUGGCUGAUACAUGGUAGAAUUCAGAUUUGAACAUAGUUGUGUCUGCUUCCAAAGCAUGCUGUAUGCCCAAGCAAUAAUUCUUGCACCAAGUUCCCUCCAAGGAGAGACCCUGGGUAAUGACAAUCUCUGGUGUCAACUAAGAUUCUUAAGAACUGUAUCCUGGUUGUGAUUCCUAUGUGAACCCGAAGGCCAGAGGAAUUGGGAGGAGGAUCAUCCAUCUGUGAUGUGGCUUGUUUUACCAACUUCCACAUCUUUAGUAGUCAGUGAUGCUGAAGAGAUGCUGGUAUCAGUAAUGGGAUGACACAAUUAGGAAAAAAAAAUACACUUCUAAUGUAUUUCGUAUCAUAAUUAUGUUCUCAAGACACAAUUUCCAUAAAGAAGAAAUCAAGAGCAGAGACAGCGAGAAAUCAUAUCCUUUGUCCAAGGAGGGGGUGGGAAGAAGACAUAUCCCAUGAGGAAAAAAAUGAACCAGAAAUUUAAAAACAUUGAAACAAAAGAGUCUAGAAAAAGCAUGGAAAAGCUGUGGAAUUCUACAGGCUGGGGCAGUCAUUUGCCUUGCCAGAAACCCACCCAGCUGUUCUUAAAAAAAAAAAAAAAAAAAAAAAAAAAAAAAAGCCCGUAGGGACCAAAAACACUGACUAAUAAUUUUUGAAUCCAUCUCCACAGUUUCUUCAUCUCUGCCAAGGUCAGGUUUGGUCACUGCAUGACUGGAGGUCUGGGCAUGCUAUUCCCAGUUUUAUAUUCACAGUAGUUAUGGAGCCCUUUAUAUGUUCAAGGGCCCUCCUGUCACUUAUUACCCACCCAUCCAGACCACCCACUCACACUGCCACACACAAUACGUCCAAACACACCCACAAAUACCCAGAUUCUUUCAACCUUAUGGUCGUUCAGGCUACAGGAAUACCGUUUGCUCCAAAUGACUUUGCUUUACAUACUUGGAAUUUUCCAAAAUAAAUCUGUUUCCCUCUCUGGGGACCAGUCUGUGGAUCUUACCACUAGGCAAACAUUAAUGGAGCACCUACUGUGUGUAAGGCACAGAUGAAUGUGGAGACUAAGAGAAACUCAACAGGAGGCAGAGAAGUCUAAGAGUUCUGCUCUAGUGAGGAGGAGUGUGUGUGUGUGUGUAUGUGUGUGUGUGAUUGUAUGUGU